GACGAACGCUGGCGGCGUGCUUAACACAUGCAAGUCGAGCGGUAAGGCCCUUUCGGGGGUACACGAGCGGCGAACGGGUGAGUAACACGUGGGUGACCUGCCCUCAGCUCUGGGAUAAGCCUGGGAAACCGGGUCUAAUACCGGAUAUGACUCCAUGACGCAUGUUGUGGGGUGGAAAGCCUUGUGCGGCUGAGGAUGGGCCCGCGGCCUAUCAGCUUGUUGGUGGGGUGAUGGCCUACCAAGGCGACGACGGGUAGCCGGCCUGAGAGGGCGACCGGCCACACUGGGACUGAGACACGGCCCAGACUCCUACGGGAGGCAGCAGGUGGGGAAUCUUGCGCAAUGGGCGAAAGCCUGACCCAGCAACGCCGCGUGAAGGAUGAAGUAUUUCGGUAUAGUAAACUUCGAAAGAAUAGGGAAGAAUAAAUGACGUACCUAUUUAUAAGCUCCGGCUAACUACGUGCCAGCAGCCGC
This 474-nucleotide ribosomal RNA is filed under the name uncultured bacterium. RNAcentral describes it as "bacterial SSU rRNA". It matches the Rfam family "Bacterial small subunit ribosomal RNA", at positions 28 to 518 of the family's 1533-position model. The record is from RNAcentral.